UACAGAGGUCUCAAGCGUUGUUCGGAUUCAUUGGGCGUAAAGGGUGCGUAGGCGGCGCGGUAAGUCGGGUGUGAAAUCUCGGAGCUUAACUCCGAAACUGCAUUCGAUACUGCCGUGCUUGAGGACUGGAGAGGAGACUGGAAUUUACGGUGUAGCGGUGAAAUGCGUAGAUAUGACAUAGAACACCCAUUGCGAAGGCAGCUAACUACGCGAUUAUUGACGCUGAUGCACGAAAGCGUGGGGAUCAAACAGG
RNAcentral lists this ribosomal RNA (253 nucleotides) under uncultured bacterium. RNAcentral's name for it is "partial 16S ribosomal RNA". It matches the Rfam family "Bacterial small subunit ribosomal RNA", at positions 524 to 776 of the family's 1533-position model. The record is from RNAcentral.